UAUAAGACUGGGAUAACUUCGGGAAACCGGAGCUAAUACCGGAUAACAUUUGGAACCGCAUGGUUCUAAAGUGAAAGAUGGUUUUGCUAUCACUUAUAGAUGGACCCGCGCCGUAUUAGCUAGUUGGUAAGGUAACGGCUUACCAAGGCGACGAUACGUAGCCGACCUGAGAGGGUGAUCGACCACACUGGAACUGAGACACGGUCCAGACUCCUACGGGAGGCAGCAGUAGGGAAUCUUCCGCAAUGGGCGAAAGCCUGACGGAGCAACGCCGCGUGAGUGAUGAAGGUCUUCGGAUCGUAAAACUCUGUUAUUAGGGAAGAACGAAUGUGUAAGUAACUGUGCACGUCUUGACGGUACCUAAUCAGAAAGCCACGGCUAACUACGUGCCAGCAGCCGCGGUAAUACGUAGGUGGCAAGCGUUAUCCGGAAUUAUUGGGCGUAAAGCGCGCGUAGGCGGUUUCUUAAGUCUGAUGUGAAAGCCCACGGCUCAGCCGUGGAGGGUCAUUGGAAACUGGGAAACUUGAGUGCAGAAGGGGAAAGUGGAAUUCCAUGUGUAGCGGUGAAAUGCGCAGAGAUAUGGAGGAACACCAGUGGCGAAGGCGACUUUCUGGUCUGUAACUGACGCUGAUGUGCGAAAGCGUGGGGAUCAAACAGGAUUAGAUACCCUGGUAGUCCACGCCGUAAACGAUGAGUGCUAAGUGUUAGGGGGUUUCCGCCCCUUAGUGCUGCAGCUAACGCAUUAAGCACUCCGCCUGGGGAGUACGACCGCAAGGUUGAAACUCAAAG
This 789-nucleotide ribosomal RNA is filed under the name uncultured Staphylococcus sp. RNAcentral describes it as "bacterial SSU rRNA". It matches the Rfam family "Bacterial small subunit ribosomal RNA", at positions 131 to 906 of the family's 1533-position model. Lineage: Bacteria; Bacillati; Bacillota; Bacilli; Caryophanales; Staphylococcaceae. The record is from RNAcentral.